Molecule: long non-coding RNA, 1559 nt
Organism: Anguilla anguilla (European eel)
Lineage: Eukaryota; Metazoa; Chordata; Actinopteri; Anguilliformes; Anguillidae
Exons: 2
Source: RefSeq, a predicted model, not a curated record
UAAACCUGCAGGCACUGUGGUCCUCCAGGACUGGAGUUAAACCUGCAGACACUGUGGUCCUCCAGGACUGGAGUUAAACCAGCAGACACAGCGCCCCCUCCAGGACUGGAGUGAAACCUGCAGGUGCGGUGGCCCUUUAGGGCCCUGUUGUAAACCAUUACGCAGGAAGACUGUGUGUACCAAAGACAUGAGAAUGACCUAAAUACAGCAGUCAAAUCCAGACUGAGCCGCGGUCCAUGAAGCCGGGACAAGAUCUGCCUUGACUAUUCUCUCCGAAUAAUGUGACAGGAGCACAUCAACACUGAUUUGAUUGACAGCACUGUGACAUAUUCUUUUGGGUCCGUGUAUUCACGGACAGGUGAUGAGUAGUUUCAGUCUUUAACCGUAGUCAUAGGUGUGUUAGCACUGGUGUGGUUACCAUUCUCAUGGUUAUAGGCCUUGUGUCUGCUGUUUAUGUUUCCCAUGUACAGUCACAACUUGACAGGGUGUUCCUUGGUUUUGCACAUAUUGUGUGAAUUUAUAACUUCUCUAUUAUUUUAAAAUGUGCUGUCGAGGUGUGAAUAUUUUGCAGGCAACUUGUUUGUGGGUACUCAAUGUUUGUUGCUAUUAAUAAAUAGGACUGAAUAUUAAUGAGCCAGUGUGAUUUCAUAAGAUAUCCUCGUGUAACGUUUUAAAUUAUUGUAGUGUCACGGAAAUACUGUUUUGUCGGCUGUAAUUACAUGAUUAAAUGCAGAAAGAUGUUUUUUUUUUUAGUGCUCAUUAGCAGAUUACUUUUUUUAAAUGCAGGAUAGAACUUUCUGCAACUCCAGAAUAUUGACAUGGAAGUUUAUUGAUUUCUAGCAAGGCACUCUAAUUUAGCAUCAAAUUGUUUGAUUUCUGUAUUAUUAUUAUCAUUAUUAUUAUUAUUUGAAGUAACAGUUAUAUGAAGACUUUAAUGGUGCACUUCAUUUGGAAGUUAAAAUGGCAUUCACUCUUGACAUGCAGGAAAAAGGCAACCUUGGUAAAUUUUUCUUAUCAUAUCCACAGUAGGCUAGCUUGGUGUUCCUUCACCGUAUUGGCUCCUGUUUGUCUCCAGUUCAACAUGUUAAAGGAGGCCUCACGCUUGUCUGUUAAUAUAAACGUUUUACAUAAAAAGUAAAAAAAUAAAUACCUGUCUUAUUUAUUGUUUCAUUGCAUUUAAUCCCCUCUCAAGAUUUCUGUGAAUUCCUCCAUUUUGUGAAUUCUGUGUGCUGUCAUCGACGACGGCAGCUUUGAUUAGCACGUUAGCGCAUGUGAAUGCUGCCGUAUGGGUACAGCUUCACGAAAAGCUUAUUUACACCAGUGAUUGCCUGUGAUGCAUGUCUUUAUGUACAAAGACUGCAGAGCCCAGGUAGACCAGAGUUAUUGCAUUUAGUUUCGGGCUUCUGCCAAGCUAACUUCAGCACAUGGUCCUUUUCGUUUUUCACCAAGCUCAAAGAAAAUUUCACUCAAUUUCACCCAGUAAAAUGAUAACCAACAAGGAAACAAUACGUUUGUAUAGAAUAAGCUUUUCACUGUAAUAAAAGUAUAAUGACAGUCAA